AUUGAACGCUGGCGGCAGGCCUAACACAUGCAAGUCGAGCGGAUGAAGGGAGCUUGCUCCUGGAUUCAGCGGCGGACGGGUGAGUAAUGCCUAGGAAUCUGCCUGGUAGUGGGGGAUAACGUCCGGAAACGGGCGCUAAUACCGCAUACGUCCUGAGGGAGAAAGUGGGGGAUCUUCGGACCUCACGCUAUCAGAUGAGCCUAGGUCGGAUUAGCUAGUUGGUGGGGUAAAGGCCUACCAAGGCGACGAUCCGUAACUGGUCUGAGAGGAUGAUCAGUCACACUGGAACUGGGACACGGUCCAGACUCCUACGGGAGGCAGCAGUGGGGAAUAUUGGACAAUGGGCGAAAGCCUGAUCCAGCCAUGCCGCGUGUGUGAAGAAGGUCUUCGGAUGUUAAAGCACUUUAAGUUGGGAGGAAGGGCAGUAAGUUAAUACCUUGCUGUUUUGACGUUACCAACAGAAUAAGCACCGGCUAACUUCGUG
Molecule: ribosomal RNA, 484 nt
Filed under: uncultured bacterium
Lineage: Bacteria
Description: partial 16S ribosomal RNA
Rfam family: Bacterial small subunit ribosomal RNA
Source: RNAcentral